Molecule: ribosomal RNA, 492 nt
Filed under: uncultured bacterium
Lineage: Bacteria
Description: partial 16S ribosomal RNA
Rfam family: Bacterial small subunit ribosomal RNA
Source: RNAcentral
AGUGAACGCUGGCGGUAGGCCUAACACAUGCAAGUCGAACGGCAGCACAGUAAGAGCUUGCUCUUACGGGUGGCGAGUGGCGGACGGGUGAGGAAUACAUCGGAAUCUACUUUUUCGUGGGGGAUAACGUAGGGAAACUUACGCUAAUACCGCAUACGACCUACGGGUGAAAGCAGUGGAUCUUCGGACCUUGCGCGAUUGAAUGAGCCGAUGUCGGAUUAGCUAGUUGGCGGGGUAAAGGCCCACCAAGGCGACGAUCCGUAGCUGGUCUGAGAGGAUGAUCAGCCACACUGGAACUGAGACACGGUCCAGACUCCUACGGGAGGCAGCAGUGGGGAAUAUUGGAAAAUGGGCGAAAGCCUGAUCCAGCAAUACCGCGUGGGUGAAGAAGGCCUUCGGGUUGUAAAGCCCUUUUGUUGGGAAAGAAAAGAAGCAGGUUAAUACCCCGCUGUUCUGACGGUACCCAAAGAAUAAGCACCGGCUAACUUCGUG